RNAcentral lists this ribosomal RNA (476 nucleotides) under uncultured bacterium. RNAcentral's name for it is "SSU rRNA". It matches the Rfam family "Bacterial small subunit ribosomal RNA", at positions 26 to 518 of the family's 1533-position model. The record is from RNAcentral.
AGGACGAACGCUGGCGGCGUGCUUAACACAUGCAAGUCGAACGGAAAGGCCCGCUUGCGGGUACUCGAGUGGCGAACGGGUGAGUAACACGUGGGCAACCUGCCCUCAGCUCUGGGAUAACUCCGGGAAACCGGUGCUAAUACUGGAUAUCGACUUCUGCUCGCAUGGGUAGUUGUUGAAAGUUUUUCGGCUGGGGAUGGGCCCGCGGCCUAUCAGCUUGUUGGUGGGGUGAUGGCCUACCAAGGCGACGACGGGUAGCCGGCCUGAGAGGGCGACCGGCCACGACUGGGACUGAGACACGGCCCAGACUCCUACGGGAGGCAGCAGUGGGGAAUAUUGCGCAAUGGGCGAAGCCUGACGCAGCGACGCCGCGUGAGGGAUGACGGCCUUCGGGUUGUAAACCUCUUUCAGCUCUGACGAAGCGAGAGUGACGGUAGGAGCAGAAGAAGCACCGGCAACUACGUGCCAGCAGCCGC